Molecule: non-coding RNA, 574 nt
Organism: Schizosaccharomyces pombe (fission yeast)
Lineage: Eukaryota; Fungi; Ascomycota; Schizosaccharomycetes; Schizosaccharomycetales; Schizosaccharomycetaceae
Source: the annotation of a GenBank genome assembly
UUAUUCAAAAAGAAGGUCGUUAUAUAUAUUGUUAUAGGGGUACUAAACAAAAGGAAACGUUGAUACUAACGAAAGUUCAUUCGAGCAUUGGGGAAAGAAGGAAGGCCCUGUAGUUUUGGUAAGUUUAAAAGCUCAACGCUCAACGUUUAUAGGCUAUCAAAAAGGUAUAGUAAAAGAAUACAGGUGAAAAUAAUUUUGCAGUCCAGGGAAAGCACAGCAAGCUACCGGAUAAAAUCUGAUUCCUAAUUUUAGAUCUGACAAAAAGUAUUACCAUAGUUAUGCAGCCUUUUUCACCAGAUAUAAGUAAUGGACAAACUUACAUGAUAGUUGUUAUAACGUAAACAGAAAAUUGGAGCCAAAAUCAGCAUCUGACAUUUGAGCAGCGAGAUCACAAAGACUAUAACACUAGUCAAGAAUAGUUAUUACGAAGUGCUUGGUUUAUUUAUUGAAGUCCAAUUUUUAUAGACAGUAUCAUUAGUGGCUUGCAAUGUCGUUAUAAAAUCAUUGCAUUCGUUGGCAGUUGUCGUUCACUUUGUAAUAACCUGAAAUCAUUUAUGGAAGAAAAACCAAUCAA